Acanthosepion pharaonis is the source of this 112-nucleotide non-coding RNA. The record is from the annotation of a GenBank genome assembly. Lineage: Eukaryota; Metazoa; Mollusca; Cephalopoda; Sepiida; Sepiidae.
CAGCCACAUCAUGUUGAAACAUUGUUUCCCCAUACGAUUACAGAAGUUAAGCAACUUUGAGCCUGGUCAGUACCUAGAUGCGUGACCACUUGGGAAUAUCAGAUGAUGUAAG